Molecule: long non-coding RNA, 1011 nt
Organism: Brassica napus (rape)
Lineage: Eukaryota; Viridiplantae; Streptophyta; Magnoliopsida; Brassicales; Brassicaceae
Exons: 2
Source: RefSeq, a predicted model, not a curated record
GUAAAAGAAACAAACCAACAAAUAAUAUUAUAAAUAAAAUAAAUUUAUAAGACACAAUCCGCGCGAAGCGCGGAAAAAAUCUCUAGUAUAUAUAUAUAUUAUAUAUUUGCAAAUUAUUGGAUCAUAUGGAGAUUGGAAAUAUUAUUCACUGCCUCACUGAUAUGUGGUGCUUAUCGGUGAUGCUUUGUGGGAUCUGUCCAGUCAAACUCCUCUUAUCAUAACAUAUCGGUCUUAUUUUUUCAUGGCCGUGAAAUAAUGAGAUAUGUUCUAUUGAUUUGAGUUUUCAUCUUCUAUUAUAUGGGCUAUACCGUGUCAAUCCAUACUUAGCCGAUAGGCUGUACCGUGUCAAUACAUACUCAAGUACUAAUCUAUUAUAAAAAUUCUUCCCAUUAUUAGCAUAUAUGAAAAUGUGCAAAUAUAUCUAUUAAUAUUUUUGCUAAAAGAUUCUUAGUAGAUGAUUGUCCAGAAAAAGUAUUAUAUCAGCAAAUACGGAAAUUUCAUUUAUAGUCAAAAUUAAAAAAGGUAUUAAACUGAAACCUUUUGACAUUAAUUCAUAUAAAUAGAACUUAUCAUGGGAACAGCAAAUAUUAACAGAUGUUCCUCUCGAUAGAAACAAAAGCUAGAAGAAAUAUAUAAUGACUAUCACAAAAACCUCUGUGACUUUUUUUCUUGUAACAAUAUUGGCAAUUUUAAUGUCCAACAAUAGUGUUGUGGCCGCAUCAGGGCCACCAAAUUGCAAAGCUCAGUGUGUGCCAGGAAAGUACGGACUUCAUGAAUGUAUCUAUGACUGUAUAGUGGCUGGGUACGACUAUGGAACGUGUAAUCCGAACCCUACUGGAAAAUGUUGUUGUGCCUACGAGGGCCAUGACCGAUAAAAACUGAUCUUAUGUAUUCUUAUAAUUGGUGAUUUGACGAUGGAUUAUGUUGUUCUUAGUAUUAUGUUUAAAAGGUGACUUUUUCUAUUGUUCUUUCUCAAUUUUAUUUGGUAAUAAAUUUAGCGAAACAAACUAA